UACAGAGGUCCCAAGCGUUGUUCGGAUUCACUAGGCGUAAAGGGUGCGUAGGCGGUCGGGUAAGUCUGACGUGAAAUCUCCAAGCUCAACUUGGAAAUGGCGUCGGAUACUAUUCGGCUCGAGGAAUGGAGGGGAGACUGGAAUUCUCGGUGUAGCAGUGAAAUGCGUAGAUAUCGAGAGGAACACCAGUGGCGAAGGCGAGUCUCUGGACAUUUCCUGACGCUGAGGCACGAAAGCCAGGGGAGCAAACGGG
This 253-nucleotide ribosomal RNA is filed under the name uncultured bacterium. RNAcentral describes it as "partial 16S ribosomal RNA". It matches the Rfam family "Bacterial small subunit ribosomal RNA", at positions 524 to 776 of the family's 1533-position model. The record is from RNAcentral.